CCUACGGGCGGCAGCAGUGGGGAAUAUUGGACAAUGGGGGGAACCCUGAUCCAGCCAUGCCGCGUGUGUGAAGAAGGCCCUCGGGUUGUAAAGCACUUUCAGUGAGGAAGAACGCCUGGUGGUUAAUACCCAUCAGGAAAGACAUCACUCACAGAAGAAGCACCGGCUAACUCCGUGCCAGCAGCCGCGGUAAUACGGAGGGUGCGAGCGUUAAUCGGAAUUACUGGGCGUAAAGCGCGUGUAGGUGGCUUGAUAAGCCGGUUGUGAAAGCCCCGGGCUCAACCUGGGAACGGCAUCCGGAACUGUCAAGCUAGAGUGCAGGAGAGGAAGGUAGAAUUCCCGGUGUAGCGGUGAAAUGCGUAGAGAUCGGGAGGAAUACCAGUGGCGAAGGCGGCCUUCUGGACUGACACUGACACUGAGGUGCGAAAGCGUGGGUAGCAAACAGGAUUAGAUACCCGAGUAGUC
This 465-nucleotide ribosomal RNA is filed under the name Vreelandella stevensii. RNAcentral describes it as "partial 16S ribosomal RNA". It matches the Rfam family "Bacterial small subunit ribosomal RNA", at positions 338 to 795 of the family's 1533-position model. Lineage: Bacteria; Pseudomonadati; Pseudomonadota; Gammaproteobacteria; Oceanospirillales; Halomonadaceae. The record is from RNAcentral.